This 634-nucleotide ribosomal RNA is filed under the name Staphylococcus sp. Its description in RNAcentral is "bacterial SSU rRNA". It matches the Rfam family "Bacterial small subunit ribosomal RNA", at positions 218 to 843 of the family's 1533-position model. Lineage: Bacteria; Bacillati; Bacillota; Bacilli; Caryophanales; Staphylococcaceae. The record is from RNAcentral.
CUUAUAGAUGGACCCGCGCCGUAUUAGCUAGUUGGUAAGGUAACGGCUUACCAAGGCGACGAUACGUAGCCGACCUGAGAGGGUGAUCGGCCACACUGGAACUGAGACACGGUCCAGACUCCUACGGGAGGCAGCAGUAGGGAAUCUUCCGCAAUGGGCGAAAGCCUGACGGAGCAACGCCGCGUGAGUGAUGAAGGGUUUCGGCUCGUAAAACUCUGUUAUUAGGGAAGAACAAAUGUGUAAGUAACUGUGCACGUCUUGACGGUACCUAAUCAGAAAGCCACGGCUAACUACGUGCCAGCAGCCGCGGUAAUACGUAGGUGGCAAGCGUUAUCCGGAAUUAUUGGGCGUAAAGCGCGCGUAGGCGGUUUCUUAAGUCUGAUGUGAAAGCCCACGGCUCAACCGUGGAGGGUCAUUGGAAACUGGGAAACUUGAGUGCAGAAGAGGAAAGUGGAAUUCCAUGUGUAGCGGUGAAAUGCGCAGAGAUAUGGAGGAACACCAGUGGCGAAGGCGACUUUCUGGUCUGUAACUGACGCUGAUGUGCGAAAGCGUGGGGAUCAAACAGGAUUAGAUACCCUGGUAGUCCACGCCGUAAACGAUGAGUGCUAAGUGUUAGGGGGUUUCCGCCCCUUAG